UGUGUGUGUUUGUAUGUGUGUUAGUGUGUGUGUUUGUGUGUUAGUGUAUGUGUGUGUUAGUGUAUGUGUGUGUGUGUCAGCAUGUCUGUGUGUGUGUCAGUAUGUCUGUGUGUGUGUCAGUAUGUCUGUCUGUCUGUGUGUCAGUAUAUAUAUGUGUGUAGAUCUGUGUGUGUCAGUAUGUGUAUGUGUCAGUAUGUCUGUCAGUGCGUC
This is a non-coding RNA of Pelobates cultripes (western spadefoot toad), 210 nucleotides long. The record is from the annotation of a GenBank genome assembly. Lineage: Eukaryota; Metazoa; Chordata; Amphibia; Anura; Pelobatidae.